UACGUAGGGUGCAAGCGUUGUCCGGAAUUAUUGGGCGUAAAGAGCUCGUAGGCGGUUCGUCGCGUCGGCUGUGAAAUCCCGAGGCUCAACCUCGGGUCUGCAGUCGAUACGGGCGGACUGGAGUUCGGCAGGGGAGACUGGAAUUCCUGGUGUAGCGGUGAAAUGCGCAGAUAUCAGGAGGAACACCGGUGGCGAAGGCGGCGACCUGGGACGAUACUGACGCUGAGGUGCGAAAGCGUGGGGAGCAAACAGG
Molecule: ribosomal RNA, 253 nt
Filed under: uncultured bacterium
Lineage: Bacteria
Description: partial 16S ribosomal RNA
Rfam family: Bacterial small subunit ribosomal RNA
Source: RNAcentral